GGCCUUUCAGCUUCUUAUCAUCUUCGUGCUCUGAUUCAACAUAGCUACUCUUGUUGUUGAUCAGUGACAACCUCACCACCCCAGAAAUGACUGUACUUGGCUGUGAGUAACAAAGUCGGCAGCAACAGCUUAAACAAACUUUCUGUCUCUAUUACAUACUACGCAAAUCAAGGGAGAGCCCUACAAAAGUUACAGAAGGGAACAGCCAGAGGACAAGGACACCAUGUUCUUCAUCCUCAUGCAAGACAUCUGACCUGUUCUUCUGAGAGGAAUCCCAGGAACAACACACGCUCUCUCAGCCUCCAGCCGGAUCAGUUCUGAGUGUUCUCAAGCCCAACCAAUGAUUGAGGGGGCACUGUCAAUCUCUUGCUGCAAUCAUCAAGGAUUGUUUGUCAUGUAUGCACUGACCUCUUUGGAAUUCCAUCAUGCAAAGUGCGCUUGCUUGUCUUUGCUUUCAUUAUAGUUACCCACAAUAACUCAUACCUUUGCACUCAUUUUCCGAGAACUUGUA
Long non-coding RNA from Homo sapiens (human), 511 nucleotides. RefSeq lists it as uncharacterized. NCBI's taxonomy places the organism in Eukaryota, Metazoa, Chordata, Mammalia, Primates, Hominidae. The record is from RefSeq and is a predicted model, not a curated record. The transcript has 3 exons.